CCUACGGGAGGCAGCAGUAGGGAAUAUUGCUCAAUGGGGGCAACCCUGAAGCAGCAACGCCGCGUGGAGGAUGAAGGCUUUCGGAUUGUAAACUUCUUUUGUUAGAGAAGAGAAUGACGGUAUAUAACGAAUAAGCACCGGCUAACUCCGUGCGAGCAGCCGCGGUAAUACGGAGGGUGCAAGCUUUAUUCGGAAUCACUGGGCGUAAAGAGCGCGUAGGCGGGAUAGCAAGUCAGAUGUGAAAUCCUAUGGCUUAACCAUAGAAAUGCAUUUGAAACUGUUAUUCUAGAGUAUGGGAGAGGUAGGUGGAAUUCUUGGUGUAGGGGUGAAAUGCGUAGAGAUCAAGAGGAAUACUCAUUGCGAAGGCGGCCGGCUGGAACAUAACUGACGCUGAUGCGCGAAAGCGUGGGGAGCAAACAGGAUUAGAUACCCCAGUAGUC
RNAcentral lists this ribosomal RNA (440 nucleotides) under uncultured bacterium. Its description in RNAcentral is "partial 16S ribosomal RNA". It matches the Rfam family "Bacterial small subunit ribosomal RNA", at positions 338 to 795 of the family's 1533-position model. The record is from RNAcentral.